RNAcentral lists this ribosomal RNA (809 nucleotides) under Botryotrichum murorum. RNAcentral describes it as "eukaryotic LSU rRNA". It matches the Rfam family "Eukaryotic large subunit ribosomal RNA", at positions 76 to 918 of the family's 3401-position model. The record is from RNAcentral. Lineage: Eukaryota; Fungi; Ascomycota; Sordariomycetes; Sordariales; Chaetomiaceae.
UGCCCCAGUAACGGCGAGUGAAGCGGCAACAGCUCAAAUUUGAAAUCUGGCUUCGGCCCGAGUUGUAAUUUGCAGAGGAAGCUUUAGGCGCGGCACCAUCUGAGUCCCCUGGAACGGGGCGCCACAGAGGGUGAGAGCCCCGUAUAGAUGGACGCCUAGCCUGUGUAAAGCUCCUUCGACGAGUCGAGUAGUUUGGGAAUGCUGCUCUAAAUGGGAGGUAAAUUUCUUCUAAAGCUAAAUACCGGCCAGAGACCGAUAGCGCACAAGUAGAGUGAUCGAAAGAUGAAAAGCACUUUGAAAAGAGGGUUAAAUAGCACGUGAAAUUGUUGAAAGGGAAGCGCUUGUGACCAGACUUGCGCCGGGCGGAUCAUCCGGUGUUCUCACCGGUGCACUCCGCCCGGCUCAGGCCAGCAUCGGUUCUCGUGGGGGGACAAAGGUUCCGGGAACGUAGCUCCUCCGGGAGUGUUAUAGCCCGGGGCGUAAUGCCCUCGCGGGGACCGAGGACCGCGCUUCGGCAAGGAUGCUGGCGUAAUGGUCAUCAGCGACCCGUCUUGAAACACGGACCAAGGAGUCAAGGUUUUGCGCGAGUGUUUGGGUGUAAAACCCGCACGCGUAAUGAAAGUGAACGUAGGUGAGAGCUUCGGCGCAUCAUCGACCGAUCCUGAUGUUUUCGGAUGGAUUUGAGUAGGAGCGUUAAGCCUUGGACCCGAAAGAUGGUGAACUAUGCUUGGAUAGGGUGAAGCCAGAGGAAACUCUGGUGGAGGCUGGCAGCGGUUCUGACGUGCAAAUCGAUCGUCAAAUCUGAGCAU